RNAcentral lists this ribosomal RNA (301 nucleotides) under uncultured bacterium. RNAcentral describes it as "partial 16S ribosomal RNA". It matches the Rfam family "Bacterial small subunit ribosomal RNA", at positions 509 to 807 of the family's 1533-position model. The record is from RNAcentral.
CAGUAGCCACGGUAAUACAGUGGGUGCGAGCGUUAAUCGGAUUUACUGGGCGUAAAGCGUGCGUAGGCGGCUUCUUAAGUCGGAUGUGAAAUCCCUGAGCUUAACUUAGGAAUUGCAUUCGAUACUGGGAAGCUAGAGUAUGGGAGAGGAUGGUAGAAUUCCAGGUGUAGCGGUGAAAUGCGUAGAGAUCUGGAGGAAUACCGAUGGCGAAGGCAGCCAUCUGGCCUAAUACUGACGCUGAGGUACGAAAGCAUGGGGAGCAAACAGGAUUAGAUACCCCAGUAGUCCCUGUCUCUUAUAC